Molecule: long non-coding RNA, 669 nt
Organism: Carya illinoinensis
Lineage: Eukaryota; Viridiplantae; Streptophyta; Magnoliopsida; Fagales; Juglandaceae
Exons: 2
Source: RefSeq, a predicted model, not a curated record
GUUGAGUUGUUAGUUUAAUUAUUUGAGUCCAAUAAUUGUAUGUGGGCAUCAGGUUAAGACUUGUUCUUAAUCCGUUGAUUCAUAGCCAAGUAUUUUGGCUUAAGAAUAGGUCUUCCGGUUGGGUUGUUAACUGAAUAUCAGUGUCGUGGUUAUGCUAUUUUUAUGGGUUGAGUCCGUGUAAUUGGGACAGUUGUUAUUUCCAGUUGUAUUUAAGUAUUUCAAGUUAAUGAGAAAAGUAUCAAAACAAUUGCAAUCAGUGAGUAUUGGAGGUUGUGGAUUUCCUCGAAUUAAACCAACUUUUUCCUUUCUAAGCCUCAACCUGACAGAAAAACCCACAAUAGUUUUAGAAUGGAAUAAGCUGCUAUAUGAUCAACUUUUCUUGUGCUGCAUAUAGAAAUAUCUGCAAUCCACAACAGUGAGAGUAGAAGAAAUGAGAGUGAGAAAGACUGAUGCAGAACAGUGGAUGUUUCAACGUAUGCACCCUGAUAACUUAAGAGAGGAGGUCAGACGAUAUGAACAAUACAAAUGGUAGGAACUAGAGGGGUCACACGAAUAUAGUCCUACCAUUAGAUAUGUAAUUUUCAUAUAUUGUAAUUUUAUAUUUUGUAAUAUAAUGUAUAAAUACCAAAUAAUGUAAUAUGUAAGGAAUUGCAUUAUGUGUUGCAUGCA